This 310-nucleotide unclassified non-coding RNA is filed under the name Hevea brasiliensis (rubber tree). The record is from RNAcentral. Lineage: Eukaryota; Viridiplantae; Streptophyta; Magnoliopsida; Malpighiales; Euphorbiaceae.
AUUUUUCAACAUUAAGAAGAUAAAGAAAAGGAGUGAUGAGAAUCCAACUGCAUUAAACCUUAAGACUCUUAAGAUUCCCUUAUUUUUCACUUUCAGUCCAAGAAGGAACCCACAGUAUAUGCUUAUGAUCAGUUGUUUCUAUUUCCAAAUUGCAAUAGCCGAAAUUUCAUUGUUUUGACAAUUUAAGUACCACAAACAGUUAUUUGCAUUAAAUUAUGGCACUAAAUUUCAGAAGAUGUUUCGUACAAUCACACAACACAAGAACAACAACAACUCAGCCAUAAUCUCAAACUAGUUGAGGUUGGCUAUA